This 486-nucleotide ribosomal RNA is filed under the name uncultured bacterium. RNAcentral's name for it is "bacterial SSU rRNA". It matches the Rfam family "Bacterial small subunit ribosomal RNA", at positions 33 to 507 of the family's 1533-position model. The record is from RNAcentral.
GACGACGCUGGCGGCGUGGAUUAGGCAUGCAAGUCGAACGGUAUCAUCCUUUCGGGGGUGAGAGAGUGGCGAACUGGUGAGUAACACGUAGGUUAUCUACCCUCAAGACGGGGACAACCCAGGGAAACUUGGGCUAAUACCGGAUGUGAGCAACUUUUAGUUGUUUGAAAGGUGGCGUAAGCUGUCGCUUGGGGAUGAGCCUGCGUCCUAUUAGUUAGUUGGUGAGGUAACGGCUCACCUAGGCAAUGAUAGGUAGGCGGCCUUAAUGGGUGGUCGCCCACACUGGGAUUGAGAUACGGCCCAGACUCCUACGGGAGGCAGCAGUCGAGAAUAGUCUACAAUGGUCGGAAGACUGAUAGUGCGACGCCGCGUGAACGAUGAAUCCCUUCGGGGUGUAAAGUUCUUUUAUAUGUGAGCAGUGCUUCUUAUAUUAACAGUAUGGGGAGAGAGAUAUUAGCAUAUGAAUAAGCAACGGCUAACUCCGUG